This 215-nucleotide ribosomal RNA is filed under the name uncultured Pseudomonas sp. Its description in RNAcentral is "partial 16S ribosomal RNA". It matches the Rfam family "Bacterial small subunit ribosomal RNA", at positions 1170 to 1382 of the family's 1533-position model. The record is from RNAcentral. Lineage: Bacteria; Pseudomonadati; Pseudomonadota; Gammaproteobacteria; Pseudomonadales; Pseudomonadaceae.
AAGGUGGGGAUGAACGUCAAGUCAUCAUGGCCCUUACGGCCUGGGCUACACACGUGCUACAAUAGGUCGGUACAAAGGGUUGCCAAGCCGCGAGGUGGAGCUAAUCCCAUAAAACCGAUCGUAGUCCGGAUCGCAGUCUGCAACUCGACUGCGUGAAGUCGGAAUCGCUAGUAAUCGUGAAUCAGAAUGUCACGGUGAAUACGUUCCCGGGCCUU